Molecule: ribosomal RNA, 549 nt
Filed under: uncultured Glomus
Lineage: Eukaryota; Fungi; Glomeromycota; Glomeromycetes; Glomerales; Glomeraceae
Description: SSU rRNA
Rfam family: Eukaryotic small subunit ribosomal RNA
Source: RNAcentral
UUUGGAGGGCAAGUCUGGUGCCAGCAGCCGCGGUAAUUCCAGCUCCAAUAGCGUAUAUUAAAGUUGUUGCAGUUAAAAAGCUCGUAGUUGAAUUUCGAGAUCAAAUUGUUGGUCGUGCCUUGGUACGCACUGGCAUUAUUGGUUUCUCCCUUCUGACGAACCAUGAUGUCAUUAAUUUGGUGUCUUGGGGAAUCAGGACUGUUACUUUGAAAAAAUUAGAGUGUUUAAAGCAGGCUCACGCUUGAAUACAUUAGCAUGGAAUAAUGAAAUAGGACGUUUGAUUCUAUUUUGUUGGUUUCUAGGAUCGACGUAAUGAUUAAUAGGGAUAGUUGGGGGCAUUAGUAUUCAAUUGUCAGAGGUGAAAUUCUUGGAUUUAUUGAAGACUAACUACUGCGAAAGCAUUUGCCAAGGAUGUUUUCAUUAAUCAAGAACGAAAGUUAGGGGAUCGAAGACGAUCAGAUACCGUCGUAGUCUUAACCAUAAACUAUGCCGACUAGGGAUCGGAUGAUGUUAAUUUUUUAAUGACUCAUUCGGCGCCUUACGGGAAAC